Molecule: transfer RNA, 72 nt
Filed under: Paenibacillus sp. FSL R7-0331
Lineage: Bacteria; Bacillati; Bacillota; Bacilli; Caryophanales; Paenibacillaceae
Description: tRNA-Gly (TCC) (tRNA-Gly-TCC-3-1)
Rfam family: tRNA
About the family: Transfer RNA (tRNA) molecules are approximately 80 nucleotides in length. Their secondary structure includes four short double-helical elements and three loops (D, anti-codon, and T loops).
Source: Rfam by way of RNAcentral
GCGGGCAUGGUCUAAAGGUUGGGCCGCAGCCUUCCAAGCUGCUGAAUGCCGGUUCGAGUCCGGCUGUCCGCU